AGUGGGGAAUAUUGGACAAUGGGGGGAACCCUGAUCCAGCCAUGCCGCGUGUGUGAAGAAGGCCUUUUGGUUGUAAAGCACUUUAAGCGAGGAGGAGGCUACCUAGAUUAAUACUUUAGGAUAGUGGACGUUACUCGCAGAAUAAGCACCGGCUAACUCUGUGCCAGCAGCCGCGGUAAUACAGAGGGUGCGAGCGUUAAUCGGAUUUACUGGGCGUAAAGCGUGCGUAGGCGGCCAAUUAAGUCAAAUGUGAAAUCCCCGAGCUUAACUUGGGAAUUGCAUUCGAUACUGGUUGGCUAGAGUAUGGGAGAGGAUGGUAGAAUUCCAGGUGUAGCGGUGAAAUGCGUAGAGAUCUGGAGGAAUACCGAUGGCGAAGGCAGCCAUCUGGCCUAAUACUGACGCUGAGGUACGAAAGCAUGGGGAGCAAA
Molecule: ribosomal RNA, 428 nt
Filed under: uncultured Acinetobacter sp.
Lineage: Bacteria; Pseudomonadati; Pseudomonadota; Gammaproteobacteria; Moraxellales; Moraxellaceae
Description: bacterial SSU rRNA
Rfam family: Bacterial small subunit ribosomal RNA
Source: RNAcentral